This 377-nucleotide ribosomal RNA is filed under the name Nostoc sp. PJ S4. RNAcentral's name for it is "bacterial SSU rRNA". It matches the Rfam family "Bacterial small subunit ribosomal RNA", at positions 398 to 791 of the family's 1533-position model. Lineage: Bacteria; Bacillati; Cyanobacteriota; Cyanophyceae; Nostocales; Nostocaceae. The record is from RNAcentral.
CGCGUGAGGGAGGGGCUCUUGGGUCGUAAACCUCUUUUCUCAGGGAAGAACACAAUGACGGUCCCUGAGGAAUAAGCAUCGGCUAACUCCGUGCCAGCAGCCGCGGUAUUACGGAGGAUGCAAGCGUUAUCCGGAAUGAUUGGGCGUAAAGCGUCCGCAGGUGGCUAUGUAAGUCUGCUGUUAAAGAAUCUAGCUCAACUAGAUACAAGCAGUGGAAACUACAAGGCUAGAGUACGUUCGGGGCAAAGGGAAUUCCUGGUGUAGCGGUGAAAUGCGUAGAGAUCAGGAAGAACACCGGUGGCGAAGGCGCUCUGCUAGGCCGUAACUGACACUGAGGGACGAAAGCUAGGGGAGCGAAUGGGAUUAGAUACCCCUAG